GCGGAGUGCUGCUGGUUCUCCAUGUGUGUACGUCAUAUUGAGGAGGCACAUCUCAAAAGAAAGAAGGAUAUAUUUUAAGUGGAGGAGGACCAUCUGAUGACCAGUGACAUCACUUCCGCCAGGAGACAAAC
Molecule: long non-coding RNA, 131 nt
Organism: Polypterus senegalus (gray bichir)
Lineage: Eukaryota; Metazoa; Chordata; Cladistia; Polypteriformes; Polypteridae
Exons: 3
Source: RefSeq, a predicted model, not a curated record